This 74-nucleotide small RNA is filed under the name Acinetobacter baumannii IS-116. RNAcentral describes it as "suhB". The record is from RNAcentral. RNAcentral also lists the same sequence under 1 other name. Lineage: Bacteria; Pseudomonadati; Pseudomonadota; Gammaproteobacteria; Moraxellales; Moraxellaceae.
CUUCUUUUUCCUCUUGGAUGUUUCCUCCCAGCAUCCUAAACCCAGCCCUCAGCUGGGUUCUUUUUAUACACACU